GUUUUUCUAACUGACAUUACAGUUCAUAUUUUGCUCUUCUGGAGAGUGGAGAAAAGAAGCUGACAGGAAUUUUUGGGGAAUGGCCAGGAAACCAGAAGCAACAGCCAAAGACCUGAUGUUAUGUACAGGAAGUCCCUGGGUUAUGAACAAGGUAUGUUAUAGCUUAACUAGUCAAGAAAUCUCUGCAAGGAACAUCACCUUUCUUCCUGCCCCUUCAACUCAGCUAGGAUGUUGUGUGAUUAUAGAAAAAAUGGACUGCUAAGACAGACAUAGAAGAAGGGGCCUAGGAAGAAACCAAGACAAGAGAGUCAGCACUCACAGAAUCAGAGUAAAGAAGAAUUGGAAGAGAGUCUGCAAAACAUCUACCCAACCUCAUUAGUAUAGUUAUCUAUGGCUAGAACAUCCCUGAGAGGUGGAUGCCUAACUUCUGUUUUUUUAAAAAAUGGGAUUUAAUAUAUAGGGCUGUGUAAGUGUUUCUAUGGAGUCCCUAUCUACAUACACUCAACUGAAAUAUUUGCAGAUGAUGAACAAAAAUAUUAUGGAAUGCCAUUGAACAUAAAACCAAACUAAAUUAAACAUGGAGUAACUGUAAGGCUUGUGUAGGAAAUUAAAGUUUCGUUAUGGAGGAAUAACUAAAUAGGGUAAUUGAGAAAGGAUCAGCGAAGGAACAGAAAUAAGAACAACAUUUUAUAUAAGAAGCCUUGCACAGACACAAAAGGAACCUCCAGGUUUUAUUUCCUAAUUUAUCUCUGAUUUCUGGCCAUCCUAUAUCCUUUUGCCAACACCAUUUGCUAAAGUUCUUCCACCAGUGGCCCCUUUAACCCAGAUUGAGGGCCAUUCCAUAUAGCCCUAUAUCCCAGAAUAUCAAGCCAGGAUAUCCCACAAUAUCUGCUUUGAACUGGGUUAUCUGAGUCCACACUGUCAUAUAUUCCAGUUCAAAGCAGAUAAUGUGGGAUUUUAUUCAGCUGCGUGGAAGAGACCUGAGACCUCUUGCAGUGUCCAAUCUCUGACCAACCAGGUUUGCUUAUAUUCCCAAAUCCUUACCCAUGCUAAAUCAGCAGACUUCUCAAUUACACUUAGAAAUAUUAUAACUUUGGACUGUAAUUCCCAAAACUCUCCAGCCAUGUUGUCUGAAGGAUUCUGGGAGAUGUAUCUUCCUCCACAAAAGGAAUACUUUGGAGGUCUGUGCUCCAGCCUACUGGUCUAAACAUCUCUUCACCACUUCUGUUCCUAAUGAAUCACUGCCUGUUUGUGCCUUCCUCCUUGGCUGUAAAUGCUGUCAAUAUAGAAAAUUCCUCAUUCCUUGACACUGGCACUGAUUUAAAUGGGGCAGAGAGAGAGGCUAUUAUUACAUGCAGAAAUGUGCAAAAGAACAUUUGCCACUUUGUCCUAUCAGAGGUAUCAUUUUCAACCCUUAAAGCAUACUCAUUCAUGUGUGUGGAUUGUAAAGAACAAUUUUCAACCAUAAGUAACAGGUAAGCACAUGUAUAGUAGUGAGUUAGAACUGAUCAAGCGUCUGAUGUGUAUUUGUGGAAAUAAUCUAAGCUCACCUUCCCAUCCGCUUUUAUGAAAUUCUCAACCCAAGCAGCUGGUGAGCUGCUGCCACUUCAACAGCCACCAAAGAGUGUCCUGUGUCUUAUCACUAAGAGUAAUCACAUUUACCUGCCA
This is a long non-coding RNA of Anolis carolinensis (green anole), 1668 nucleotides long. RefSeq lists it as uncharacterized. NCBI's taxonomy places the organism in Eukaryota, Metazoa, Chordata, Lepidosauria, Squamata, Anolidae. The record is from RefSeq and is a predicted model, not a curated record. The transcript has 3 exons.